RNAcentral lists this small nuclear RNA (99 nucleotides) under Echinops telfairi (small Madagascar hedgehog). The record is from RNAcentral. Lineage: Eukaryota; Metazoa; Chordata; Mammalia; Afrosoricida; Tenrecidae.
GUGCUCGCUUCGGGCAGCACAUGUACUAAAAUUGGAAAGAUUCAGAGAAGAUUUGUGCACAAGGAUGACACACAAAUUCAUGAAGCAUUCCGUAUUUUG